UCUAAAGAUCAUAUCAUUUCUUGCCUUCCAAAUAGACCACCAGCAUCCUACCAAUUCGGAUAAGCUGCUUCUCGUCUUAUGGCAUCCCUUCCUAUUCAUCCACGAUCCAAACUAGGAUUACAUCGUUUCCCAGGUCCCUUGCCUCUACGCCGUCCACUCCCGUCGCGAUGAUAAACUUGCUGAACACACACCGCGUGAACAGGUGGUCCACUGAUUCCUCUUCCGCUCCGCAAAAUACGCAAUCUAAGUUUCCCACCCACCCACGCUUCACGAGUAAAU
This 279-nucleotide long non-coding RNA is filed under the name Ananas comosus (pineapple). RNAcentral describes it as "long non-coding RNA (ACOM_LNC016602)". The record is from RNAcentral. Lineage: Eukaryota; Viridiplantae; Streptophyta; Magnoliopsida; Poales; Bromeliaceae.